Molecule: ribosomal RNA, 497 nt
Filed under: uncultured bacterium
Lineage: Bacteria
Description: partial 16S ribosomal RNA
Rfam family: Bacterial small subunit ribosomal RNA
Source: RNAcentral
GAUGAACGCUGGCGGCGUGCCUAAUACAUGCAAGUCGAGCGAACAGACGACUUUCUUGCUCCUCUGACGUUAGCGGCGUACGUGUGAGUAACACGUGGUUCCCCUACCUAUAAGACUGGUAUAACUUCGUGAAACCGGAGCUAAUACCGGAUCCUAUCUUGAUCCGCAUGGUUCAAUAGUUAAAGACGGUUUUGCUGUCACUUCUAGUUGUCUCCGCGCCGCAUUAGCUAGUUGUUAAGGUAACGGCUUACCCAGGCAACAAUGCGUAGCCGACCUGAGAGGGUGAACGGCGACACAGGAAGUGAGACACGGUCCAGACUCCGACGGGAGGCAGAAAUAGGGAAGCGUGGGAAAUGGGCGAAAGACUGAAGGAGCAACGGAGCGUGAGUGAUGAAGGGCUGCGGAUCGGAAAACUCUGUUAUGAGGGAAGAACAAAUGUGGAAGGAACUAUGCACGUGGUGACGGUACCUAAAGAGAAAGCAACGGCUAACUACGUG